CAGCACCUCAAGUGGUCAGGAUGAUUAUUGGGCCUAAAGCAUCCGUAGCCGGCGCUGUAAGUUUUCGGUUAAAUCUGUACGCUCAACGUACAGGCUGCCGGGAAUACUGCAGCGCUAGGGAGUGGGAGAGGUAGACGGUACUCGGUAGGAAGGGGUAAAAUCCUUUGAUCUAUUGAUGACCGCCUGUGGCGAAGGCGGUCUACCAGAACACGUCCGACGGUGAGGGAUGAAAGCUGGGGGAGCAAUCCGGAUUAGAUACCCGAGUAGUCC
Molecule: ribosomal RNA, 270 nt
Filed under: uncultured archaeon
Lineage: Archaea
Description: partial 16S ribosomal RNA
Rfam family: Archaeal small subunit ribosomal RNA
Source: RNAcentral